AACUUUCAACAACGGAUCUCUAGGCUCUUGCAUCGAUGAAGAACGCAGUGAAAUGUGAUAAGUAAUGUGAAUUGCAGAAUCUCGUGAAUCAUUGAAUCUUUGAACGCA
Molecule: ribosomal RNA, 108 nt
Filed under: uncultured Peziza
Lineage: Eukaryota; Fungi; Ascomycota; Pezizomycetes; Pezizales; Pezizaceae
Description: 5.8S ribosomal RNA
Rfam family: 5.8S ribosomal RNA
About the family: 5.8S ribosomal RNA (5.8S rRNA) is a component of the large subunit of the eukaryotic ribosome. It is transcribed by RNA polymerase I as part of the 45S precursor that also contains 18S and 28S rRNA.
Source: RNAcentral